AUUGAACGCUGGCGGCAGGCCUAACACAUGCAAGUCGAGCGAGUGGCGGACGGGUGCGUCAUGUCUGGGGAUCUGCCUGCUGGAGGGGGCUAACUACUGGCAACGGUAGCUAAUACCGCAUACCCUCAGAUGAACCCAUAUGGGAUUAGCUUGUUGGUGUGGUAACGGCUCACCAAGGCGACGAUCCCUAGCUGGUCUGAGAGGAUGAUCAGCCACACUGGGACUGAGACACGGCCCAGACUCCUACGGGAGGCAGCAGUGGGGAAUAUUGCACAAUGGGCGCAAGCCUGAUGCAGCCAUGCCGCGUGUAUGAAGAAGGCCUUCGGGUUGUAAAGUACUUUCAGUCGGGAGGCGUUACCGACAGAAGAAGCACCGGCUAACUCCGUGCCAGCAGCCGCGGUAAUUC
Molecule: ribosomal RNA, 406 nt
Filed under: uncultured bacterium
Lineage: Bacteria
Description: partial 16S ribosomal RNA
Rfam family: Bacterial small subunit ribosomal RNA
Source: RNAcentral